UACGAAGGGGGCUAGCGUUGCUCGGAAUCACUGGGCGUAAAGCGCACGUAGGCGGCUUUCUAAGUCAGGGGUGAAAUCCUGGAGCUCAACUCCAGAACUGCCUUUGAUACUGGAGAGCUCGAGUCCGGAAGAGGUGAGUGGAACUGCGAGUGUAGAGGUGAAAUUCGUAGAUAUUCGCAAGAACACCAGUGGCGAAGGCGGCUCACUGGUCCGGUACUGACGCUGAGGUGCGAAAGCGUGGGGAGCAAACAGGG
This 254-nucleotide ribosomal RNA is filed under the name uncultured bacterium. RNAcentral describes it as "partial 16S ribosomal RNA". It matches the Rfam family "Bacterial small subunit ribosomal RNA", at positions 524 to 777 of the family's 1533-position model. The record is from RNAcentral.